Molecule: ribosomal RNA, 466 nt
Filed under: uncultured bacterium
Lineage: Bacteria
Description: partial 16S ribosomal RNA
Rfam family: Bacterial small subunit ribosomal RNA
Source: RNAcentral
GACGAACGCUGGCGGCGUGCUUAACACAUGCAAGUCGAACGGAAAGGCCCUGCUUGCAGGGUACUCGAGUGGCGAACGGGUGAGUAACACGUGGGUGAUCUGCCCUGCACUUCGGGAUAAGCUUGGGAAACUGGGUCUAAUACCUGAUAGGAACCAUCUUUAGUGUGGUGGUUGGAAAGUUUUUUCGGUGUAGGAUGAGCUCGCGGCCUAUCAGCUUGUUGGUGGGGUAAUGGCCUACCAAGGCGGCGACGGGUAGCCGGCCUGAGAGGGUGUACGGCCACAUUGGGACUGAGAUACGGCCCAGACUCCUACGGGAGGCAGCAGUGGGGAAUAUUGCACAAUGGGCGCAAGCCUGAUGCAGCGACGCCGCGUGGGGGAUGAAGGCCUUCGGGUUGUAAACUCCUUUCGCUAGGGACGAAGCUUUGUUGUGACGGUACCUAGAGAAGAAGCACCGGCUAACUACGUG